UACGUAGGUGGCGAGCGUUGUCCGGAUUUAUUGGGCGUAAAGCGCGCGCAGGCGGUGCGGUAAGUCCGUCGUGAAAUCUCCCGGCUCAACUGGGAGGGUGCGGUGGAGACUGCCGGACUGGAGGCACUCAGAGGCCGGUGGAAUUCCCGGUGUAGUGGUGAAAUGCGUAGAGAUCGGGAGGAACACCAGUGGCGAAGGCGGCCGGCUGGGGGUGACCUGACGCUGAGGCGCGAAGGUCAGGGGAGCAAACGGG
RNAcentral lists this ribosomal RNA (253 nucleotides) under uncultured bacterium. Its description in RNAcentral is "partial 16S ribosomal RNA". It matches the Rfam family "Bacterial small subunit ribosomal RNA", at positions 524 to 776 of the family's 1533-position model. The record is from RNAcentral.